RNAcentral lists this ribosomal RNA (1014 nucleotides) under Halapricum hydrolyticum. RNAcentral's name for it is "partial 23S ribosomal RNA". It matches the Rfam family "Archaeal large subunit ribosomal RNA", at positions 1 to 1022 of the family's 2987-position model. The record is from RNAcentral. Lineage: Archaea; Methanobacteriati; Methanobacteriota; Halobacteria; Halobacteriales; Haloarculaceae.
AUCGAAUGGCUACUGUGCCGUUCGGUGAAUGGCUCGGCUCGAGCGCCGACGAAGGACGUGCCAAGCUGCGAUAAGCCUGAGGGAGCCGCACGGAGGCGAAGAACUCAGGAUCUCCUAAUAGGAACUCCUCACCGCAAUUGCUUCGCGCAAUGGGGAACGCCGGGAACUGAAACAUCUUAGUACCGGCAGGAAGAGAAAGCGAAUGCGAUAUCGUCAGUAACCGCGAGUGAACGCGAUACAGUCCAAACCGAAUCCUUCGGGAUAUGUGGUGUUUUGGGCUGACUCUCAUCGUCUGACCGUCUGUUCGAAGUCUCCUGGAACGGAGCGUGAUACAGGGUGACAACCCCGUAGAACAGACCGGUAAGACGUGCGUCAGUUCCUGAGUAGCGGGGGUUGGAAAUCCCUCGUGAAUUUGGCAGGCAUCGUCUGCCAAGACUAAAUACGACUCGAGACCGAUAGCGAACAAGUAGCGUGAGCGAACGCUGAAAAGCACCCUCAGAAGGGAGGUGCAAUAGGGCCUGAAAUCGAGCGGCGAUGGAGCGACGGGGCAUACAAGGUCCCGUGACGAAUGAGCCGGGUGCGAACCCGCAGUAAGACUCACGGGAAGCCGGUGUUCCGUCGUACGUUUUGAAAAACGAGCCAGGGAGUGUAUCUACGAGGCGAGCUUAACCGGAGUAUCCGGGGAAGCGCAGGGAAACCAACAUGGCCGCAGAGUCGUGGACUUCGUCCACGCGCCCCAGGGCCGCCGUCUUCAAGGGCGGGGAGUCCCGUGGAUACGACCCGAAUCCGGACGAUUUACUCCUGGACAGGGUGAAGCGUAUCGAAAGAUACGUGGAGGCCCGCUAGCGUUGGUGUCCUACAAUACCCUCGCGUGAUCUAGGAGUAGGGGUGAAAGGCCCAUCGAGUUCGGCAACAGCUGGUUCCAACCGAAACAUGUCGAAGCAUGAUCUCCACCGAGAUAGUCCGUGAGGUAGAGCGACCGAUUGCCGUGUCCGCCCUCGAGAGAGGUCGGCU